Molecule: long non-coding RNA, 1964 nt
Organism: Micropterus salmoides (largemouth bass)
Lineage: Eukaryota; Metazoa; Chordata; Actinopteri; Centrarchiformes; Centrarchidae
Exons: 3
Source: RefSeq, a predicted model, not a curated record
UGUCAGACAGGCUGCCACAAACUGAUGCACCAAACUGCAACUACUACAUGUUGUUUGUAUAUAUCUGCAGUAUUUCUCACACCUGCAGGGGGGAAAAAACCUCAUACAAUGAAAAUAAAGGAUUUCCACGUCCAUAGAUUGUAAAAUCAACACAGUGCUAUACCCUGCUGACAAAGUGAAAGCUGUGAUGUAGAUUACGGACACCUCCCCUGUUUGUUAUAAUGCAACAGUGAUGUGCUUUCGUCUACAGGUGCUGAGCUGAAAGCACCAGAAAGAAAAGCAGAUAGAACAAACUCACAUUUAAAAUUCUUUACCAUGAUGUUUAAGGUCUUUAUAUUGUGUUUCCUUCAUCUGCCAGGGAAUAAGGGUGCCUCAAAUACCUAUACUGUCAGUCAAAAACCUCCUUUCAUCAUUAAGAGAAAUAAUGAAUCUGUUACCAGUGAGAUCAAAUGUUCACACAGCAUAACAAAUUUUAAUCGUAUUCUCUGGUACAAACAAGAAGAAAACAAAGCGCUAAAGUUCCUGGGAUAUCUGAAUCUGGGCUUCCCAAACCUCGAGGACGACGUGAAAGGAAAAAUCAGCUUUGAUGGAGACGGCCGUAAAGAGUCAAGCCUCACUGUUUCAAAUGUUUCAUUAAAUGACAGGGGUGUGUAUUUCUGUGCUGCCAGUCAGCACAGUGCUGCAGAUUCCCCUCAAGUCAAUACAAAAACUGUCUGCAGACAGACAAGAUGUUCAGGCUCUUGAACACCUGCAGCCAGCCUCCAUCUAAACUGAGCCUUUGAAGUUAUUAUCAACUGUUGUACAAAAUAUGGUCGUCACAUUUCUUGGAUGUGCAGAAAAUAAUAUUUCUGAUAUUGUCUCAUCAACUACAGGACUGAUGGAGUCUUGAACUACAGACCACUGAUAAAAUGCAGACAUCCAAACUAUUCUGCUUCCUACAUUGUGUUUCAGGUUUAGAUUUUGGUAAAAAAGAAAAACUUCAUAAAUCAGACUUGAUCCUAAGAUAUAAUUUUACUUCCAUGCCAGUACAGAAAAACCUUCCAUAUUCUGUUUUAAAGAUCAUCACAUCAUGAAAUCUGUCUUUCUCAGUCUUGUCAGUGCUACAGAUCUGAAUUAGAGGUAACAUUCAUGACAGUGAUGAACUGUAGGCGGACCUACACUUCCACUGAUACUCCCACCUACACAGUGUUAAUGCAGAGACACCUGCAACUCUUCAUGUCUCUGUAACUAUGAGACUCUGGCAGUCUCUCUCUGUCAGAACAUGGAUAUCAUCAAACAAGAUCUCCUCAUAUUGUCAGUGUUUUUGCUGUGGAUUACAGGUCUUAUUGAUGGGAGUGAUGUCACCCAGACUGACAUACUGUGGAAACACCAGGGUGAAAGUGCAACAAUAAACUGCAGCCACACCAAGGAUGCUACCUAUUACCAGAUGUACUGGUACAGACAGCUACCAGGGCAGAGGAUGAAGGAAAUAGUUUUCACGACUACAACUCCUCCACCUAAGUAUCAAAGUGGCUUCAGUGAAGAAAAAUUCCCAGCAACAAAGAACAAUGCUGAGACUGGAUCUUUGACAGUGAAGAAGCUGCUGUCUGAGGACAGUGGAGUGUAUUUCUGUGCUGUGAGUAAACACAGUGAUACAGGUGACUCAGACAGCUGUACAAAUACCCAUGUGAACAAAAGAUAACAGUUUCUUUGAUAGACUACAGAGGGAGCUCUAGACUAACACUGAUACAAUUACUCUGACUAUUUGAAAUUGCACAUACCUUUUUGUUAGUAAUCAGUAUUUGUGGUAAUAGUGGCUGUGCAAAACAAGGGUUAAAAAUGUCCCAAUGUAAAAUUAUGGGCAAUGAAUUUGACACCAUAUGUACUCUGUAAUCUAACCCAACAUGUUUAAAAAGACAUUUGUAGUUUUCCUGUUUUAAUUACUUUCCUGUUGGUUUCAAACUAUGUUAAAUUAUUAUUUCAUU